UUCUAUUGUUCAUCAUUGCCAUAUUUGCUUUUCUAGAGCUUUUCUUUUCUGUGUAAACUCUUUCAUUGUGGUGCUUGUUCCAGUCAAGGGACGUGGAACAAGGGAAAGGCGUCCCAAACCUAAGUGAAAUUGGGAGUGUUAGGGUUUGUUGUGAGCCCGGUGUAAAACAACGAGUUAGGUAGUGAACUCGCAAAACUACCGUACUGUAAUCUUGGAUUAUAGUGGAAAUUCCCAAAGGUGAUUUGGGGAGUGGAUGUAGGAGCAGUGGAAGCUCCGAACCACUAUAAAAUCUUGUGUUUGCGAUUGACCUUUCCAAUUCCUCCUUCUUUACUUUAGUGCAUAUAUUUGUGUGUUUUAUUUUUAAUUAGGCGAAAAGUUUUAAAACACCCAAUUCACCCCCCUCUUGGGUGACCAUCUCUGGGCAACAAGUGGUAUCAGAGCAGGUGCUCUGUGUAUUUCUUGAAAGACCUAACCGUCUUAGCCAAAGAUCUAGAUGGCAACACCCUUUAACAAUGUUCCUGCCGAG
Molecule: long non-coding RNA, 526 nt
Filed under: Phoenix dactylifera (date palm)
Lineage: Eukaryota; Viridiplantae; Streptophyta; Magnoliopsida; Arecales; Arecaceae
Description: long non-coding RNA (PDAC_LNC004214)
Source: RNAcentral